GGCUGUUCCUGGUUCCCCAGCAGCCGCUGCAGCCCCUGGGGCUCAGUCGAGGCCUAGCCGGCCUCGCCCCCUCUCCGCAGCCUGGAGCAACCUUGGGAUUUUCAGCCAGUGUGGAGGACACGGCUGAUUCACCUAGGGGCUUUUGUGGGGACAUUCCUGCCGUCGGAGGCCCCUUUUCCGAAUGGCCCGUAGGCGGGGGCUCUUGCAGUGGGGCCUCCGGGGGUUCUGCCCAGAGAAUGUGAUUCGGGCCGCUGGGUGGGGGGAAGGAGUUUCCCCCUUCACGGUCUCCGGAGACUCCGGAACGUCUUAGCUUCCCGGAUUCUCCCGCUGCACCUGCUCUGGGUGGCCAGGCAACCGGUCGCAUUCCGCCCUCCCCGGCGACCCCAAUCCCAAAGCCAUGUGUAUUGCGCGUGUGUCCGCUACAGGAAUGUGCGUUUCAUCCCUAAUGUCUUGUGUGCCUGGUGAGUGCGAGUGGUGGCAACGUGGCACGUGCAAGUGAGCAUUCGUCCACACAGGGGACCGAUCCGCGUGGGACAGCUCACACGUGUCUGAAACUACCCCACCAGGAUCCCCUGGCUCUCUCUCCGCCUCUGGGAGACCGAAUUCAGCUUGGAACGCAUGCUGUCUGCAGUUGAGGCAAAGGCAGUCUCUUGCCCGGUGUCAGCCUGAAGCAAAUUCGGUGUGGAGGGUCCUCAGUGCUCAUCGUCUUUUUUGAAAUGGAAUGGAGGCU
RNAcentral lists this long non-coding RNA (730 nucleotides) under Rattus norvegicus (Norway rat). RNAcentral describes it as "long non-coding RNA NONRATT003865". Lineage: Eukaryota; Metazoa; Chordata; Mammalia; Rodentia; Muridae. The record is from RNAcentral.